CGGGGCAUGGUGUAACGGCUAACAUACUCGCUUUGGGAGCGAGCGACUCUGGGUUCGAAUCCCAGUGCCCCGA
This 73-nucleotide transfer RNA is filed under the name Candidatus Nomurabacteria bacterium. RNAcentral's name for it is "tRNA-Pro". It matches the Rfam family "tRNA". Rfam says of the family: Transfer RNA (tRNA) molecules are approximately 80 nucleotides in length. Their secondary structure includes four short double-helical elements and three loops (D, anti-codon, and T loops). Lineage: Bacteria; Candidatus Nomuraibacteriota. The record is from RNAcentral.